CUACGGGCGGCAGCAGUGGGGAAUAUUGCACAAUGGGCGCAAGCCUGAUGCAGCAACGCCGCGUGAAGGAUGAAGGCCUUCGGGUCGUAAACUUCUGUCCUUGGGGAAGAAACAAAUGACGGUACCCAUGGAGGAAGCCCCGGCUAACUACGUGCCAGCAGCCGCGGUAAUACGUAGGGGGCGAGCGUUGUCCGGAAUCACUGGGCGUAAAGGGUGAGUAGGCGGUAACGUGUGUCAGAUGUGAAAGGCGAGGGCUCAACCCUCGUAAGCAUUUGAAACUGCGUAUCUUGAGUGCAGGAGAGGUAAGCGGAAUUCCUAGUGUAGCGGUGAAAUGCGUAGAUAUUAGGAGGAACACCAGUGGCGAAGGCGGCUUACUGGACUGUAACUGACGCUGAGACACGAAAGCGUGGGGAGCGAACAGGAUUAGAUACCCGGGUAGUC
Molecule: ribosomal RNA, 441 nt
Filed under: uncultured bacterium
Lineage: Bacteria
Description: partial 16S ribosomal RNA
Rfam family: Bacterial small subunit ribosomal RNA
Source: RNAcentral